AGUGAACGCUGGCGGUAGGCCUAACACAUGCAAGUCGAACGGCAGCACAGUAAGAGCUUGCUCUUACGGGUGGCGAGUGGCGGACGGGUGAGGAAUACAUCGGAAUCUACUUUUUCGUGGGGGCUAACGUAGGGAAACUUACGCUAAUACCGCAUACGACCUACGGGUGAAAGCAGGGGAUCUUCGGACCUUGCGCGAUUGAAUGAGCCGAUGUCGGAUUAGCUAGUUGGCGGGGUAAAGGCCCACCAAGGCGACGAUCCGUAGCUGGUCUGAGAGGAUGAUCAGCCACACUGGAACUGAGACACGGUCCAGACUCCUACGAGAGGCAGCAGUGGGGAAUAUUGGACAAUGGGCGCAAGCCUGAUCCAGCCAUACCGCGUGGGUGAAGAAGGCCUUCGGGUUGUAAAGCCCUUUUGUUGGGAAAGAAAAGCAGCAGGUUAAUACCCCGCUGUUCUGACGGUACCCAAAGAAUAAGCACCGGCUAACUUCGUG
This 492-nucleotide ribosomal RNA is filed under the name uncultured bacterium. RNAcentral describes it as "partial 16S ribosomal RNA". It matches the Rfam family "Bacterial small subunit ribosomal RNA", at positions 29 to 507 of the family's 1533-position model. The record is from RNAcentral.